RNAcentral lists this ribosomal RNA (427 nucleotides) under uncultured Lactobacillus sp. RNAcentral describes it as "bacterial SSU rRNA". It matches the Rfam family "Bacterial small subunit ribosomal RNA", at positions 28 to 421 of the family's 1533-position model. The record is from RNAcentral. Lineage: Bacteria; Bacillati; Bacillota; Bacilli; Lactobacillales; Lactobacillaceae.
GACGAACGCUGGCGGCGUGCCUAAUACAUGCAAGUCGAGCGAGCUUGCCUAGAUGAUUUUAGUGCUUGCACUAAAUGAAACUAGAUACAAGCGAGCGGCGGACGGGUGAGUAACACGUGGGUAACCUGCCCAAGAGACUGGGAUAACACCUGGAAACAGAUGCUAAUACCGCAUAACAACAAAAGCCACAUGGCUUUUGUUUAAAAGAUGGCUUUGGCUAUCACUCUGGGAUGGACCUGCGGUGCAUUAGCUAGUUGGUAAGGUAACGGCUUACCAAGGCGAUGAUGCAUAGCCGAGUUGAGAGACUGAUCGGCCACAAUGGAACUGAGACACGGUCCAUACUCCUACGGGAGGCAGCAGUAGGGAAUCUUCCACAAUGGGCGCAAGCCUGAUGGAGCAACACCGCGUGAGUGAAGAAGGGUUUCGG